RNAcentral lists this ribosomal RNA (253 nucleotides) under uncultured bacterium. RNAcentral's name for it is "partial 16S ribosomal RNA". It matches the Rfam family "Bacterial small subunit ribosomal RNA", at positions 524 to 776 of the family's 1533-position model. The record is from RNAcentral.
UACGGAGGGUGCAAGCGUUAUCCGGAUUCACUGGGUUUAAAGGGUGCGUAGGUGGGAAUGUAAGUCAGUGGUGAAAUCUCCGUGCUUAACAUGGAAACUGCCAUUGAUACUAUGUUUCUUGAAUUUUCUGGAGGUAAGCGGAAUAUGUCAUGUAGCGGUGAAAUGCUUAGAUAUGACAUAGAACACCAAUUGCGAAGGCAGCCUCCUGGGCCAGCACUGACGCUCAUGCACGAAAGCGUGGGGAGCAAACAGG